Molecule: ribosomal RNA, 120 nt
Filed under: Cebus imitator (Panamanian white-faced capuchin)
Lineage: Eukaryota; Metazoa; Chordata; Mammalia; Primates; Cebidae
Source: RNAcentral
GUCUAUGGCCAUACCACCUUGAACGCACCCAAUUUUUGUCUGAUCUCGGAAGCUAAGCAGGAUCAGGCCUGGUUAGUACUUGGAUGGGAGACAGCAUGGGAAUAACGGGCGCUGUAGGCU